GAUGAACGCUGGCGGCGUGCCUAAUACAUGCAAGUCGAGCGAACAGACGAGGAGCUUGCUCCUCUGACGUUAGCGGCGGACGGGUGAGUAACACGUGGAUAACCUACCUAUAAGACUGGGAUAACUUCGGGAAACCGGAGCUAAUACCGGAUAAUAUAUUGAACCGCAUGGUUCAAUAGUGAAAGACGGUUUUGCUGUCACUUAUAGAUGGAUCCGCGCCGCAUUAGCUAGUUGGUAAGGUAACGGCUUACCAAGGCAACGAUGCGUAGCCGACCUGAGAGGGUGAUCGGCCCCACUGGAACUGAGACACGGUCCAGACUCCUACGGGAGGCAGCAGUAGGGAAUCUUCCGCAAUGGGCGAAAGCCUGACGGAGCAACGCCGCGUGAGUGAAUAAGGUCUUCGGAUCGUAAAACUCUGUUAUUAGGGAAGAACAAAUGUGUAAGUAACUAUGCACGUCUUGACGGUACCUAAUCAGAAAGCCACGGCUAACUACGUG
Molecule: ribosomal RNA, 497 nt
Filed under: uncultured bacterium
Lineage: Bacteria
Description: partial 16S ribosomal RNA
Rfam family: Bacterial small subunit ribosomal RNA
Source: RNAcentral